Molecule: ribosomal RNA, 253 nt
Filed under: uncultured bacterium
Lineage: Bacteria
Description: partial 16S ribosomal RNA
Rfam family: Bacterial small subunit ribosomal RNA
Source: RNAcentral
UACGGAGGGUGCGAGCGUUGUCCGGAAUCACUGGGCGUAAAGGGCGCGUAGGCGGCGCGGGGAGUCAACGGUGAAAGCUCGGCGCUCAACGCCGAGUCGGCCGUCGAUACUCCCGUGCUCGAGCACUGUAGAGGCAGGUGGAAUUCCGGGUGUAGCGGUGGAAUGCGUAGAGAUCCGGAAGAACACCGGUGGCGAAGGCGGCCUGCUGGGCAGUAGCUGACGCUGAGGAGCGAAAGCGUGGGGAGCGAACAGG